RNAcentral lists this ribosomal RNA (301 nucleotides) under uncultured bacterium. RNAcentral's name for it is "partial 16S ribosomal RNA". It matches the Rfam family "Bacterial small subunit ribosomal RNA", at positions 509 to 809 of the family's 1533-position model. The record is from RNAcentral.
CAGCAGCCGCGGUAAUACGUAGGUGGCGAGCGUUGUCCGGAAUUAUUGGGCGUAAAGGGAGCGCAGGCGGGCGAGUAAGUCUUUCUUAAAAGUGCGGGGCUCAACCCCGUGAGGGGAGAGAAACUACUCAUCUUGAGUGCAGGAGAGGAAAGCGGAAUUCCUAGUGUAGCGGUGAAAUGCGUAGAUAUUAGGAAGAACACCAGUGGCGAAGGCGGCUUUCUGGACUGUAACUGACGCUGAGGCUCGAAAGCCAGGGGAGCGAACGGGAUUAGAUACCCCCGUAGUCCCUGUCUCUUAUACA